Molecule: transfer RNA, 77 nt
Filed under: Terriglobus roseus
Lineage: Bacteria; Pseudomonadati; Acidobacteriota; Terriglobia; Terriglobales; Acidobacteriaceae
Also listed under: 15 other names
Description: tRNA-Arg
Rfam family: tRNA
About the family: Transfer RNA (tRNA) molecules are approximately 80 nucleotides in length.
Source: RNAcentral
GCACCCGUAGCUCAGCUGGAUAGAGCGGCAGCCUCCGAAGCUGUAGGUCAGAAGUUCGAAUCUUCUCGGGUGCACCA